Molecule: long non-coding RNA, 262 nt
Filed under: Homo sapiens (human)
Lineage: Eukaryota; Metazoa; Chordata; Mammalia; Primates; Hominidae
Description: HSALNT0292164
Source: RNAcentral
CCAGCUGGUACGACCUCAAGAAGUAAGGGGCUCUGGAUCAUGGAGUUGUCACCCUAAAACAGAGGUGAUAAAUCCUUCCUCUCAGGGAUGAGUUCUCACUGUGUUGCCUGGACUGGUCUCGAAAUCCUGACCUUAAGUAAUGCUUCUGCCUUGGCCUCCCAAAAUGCUGAAAUUACAGGCGUGAGCCAUCAUUCCCAGCCCAGCAGUCUUCAUCUUAAGAAGAAAGCUGCCCAGCAUCAGAGGGGUCAGGUUCCCUUCUAAA